RNAcentral lists this ribosomal RNA (254 nucleotides) under uncultured bacterium. Its description in RNAcentral is "partial 16S ribosomal RNA". It matches the Rfam family "Bacterial small subunit ribosomal RNA", at positions 524 to 776 of the family's 1533-position model. The record is from RNAcentral.
UACGUAGGGUGCGAGCGUUGUCCGGAAUUAUUGGGCGUAAAGAGCUCGCAGGCGGUGUGUCACGUCGGCCGUGAAAACCUGCAGCUUAACUGUGGGCGUGCGGUCGAUACGGGCAUCACUGGAGUUCGGCAGGGGAGACUGGAAUUCCUGGUGUAGCGGUGAAAUGCGCAGAUAUCAGGAGGAACACCGGUGGCGAAGGCGGGUCUCUGGGCCGAUACUGACGCUGAGGAGCGAAAGCGUGGGGAGCAAACAGG